CCUACGGGAGGCAGCAGUGAGGAAUCUUCCGCAAUGGGCGAAAGCCUGACGGAGCGACACCGCGUGAAGGAUGAAGCCAUUUUUUGGUGUAAACUUCUGUUGUGAGGGAAGAAAUUUUUGACGGUACCUCACGAGAAAGCAUCGGCUAAUUCUGUGCCAGCAGCCGCGGUAAU
Molecule: ribosomal RNA, 173 nt
Filed under: uncultured groundwater bacterium 101574
Lineage: Bacteria
Description: partial 16S ribosomal RNA
Rfam family: Bacterial small subunit ribosomal RNA
Source: RNAcentral